RNAcentral lists this non-coding RNA (229 nucleotides) under Hespellia stercorisuis. RNAcentral describes it as "T-box sequence". It matches the Rfam family "T-box leader". From Rfam's summary of the family: Uncharged tRNA acts as the effector for transcription antitermination of genes in the T-box leader family. T-boxes are found upstream of many aminoacyl-tRNA synthetase genes and some amino acid biosynthetic genes usually in Gram-positive bacteria. Lineage: Bacteria; Bacillati; Bacillota; Clostridia; Lachnospirales; Lachnospiraceae. The record is from RNAcentral.
ACAAAUGCGCGGAAGAAGAGGAGUACAUAGAGAUCCCUUGCCAGAGAAAACUGCCCAUGGCUGGAAGGCAGUUAAAAGAAGGAACUAUGGAAGGUAGCUUUGGAGCACAGCGCCUGAAUGAGAGUAAGGUACUGCGGAGUGGUUCCCGUUACAGAACUUAAGAGAGAUAUGUGCGUCCAUGAGAGGCGGAUAUAUAACGAAGGUGGUACCGCGACAAUUCGCCCUUUAC